Molecule: ribosomal RNA, 497 nt
Filed under: uncultured bacterium
Lineage: Bacteria
Description: partial 16S ribosomal RNA
Rfam family: Bacterial small subunit ribosomal RNA
Source: RNAcentral
AAUGAACGCUGGCGGCAUGCCUAACACAUGCAAGUCGAGCGAACAGACGAGGAUCUUGCUCGUCUGACGUUAGCGGCGGACGGGUGAUGAACACGUGGAUAACCUACCUAUAAGACUGGGAUAACUACGGGGAACCUGAUCUAAUACCGGAUAAUAUAUUGAACCUCAGGGUUCAUUAGUGAAAGACGGUUUUGCUGUCACUUAUAGAUGGAUCCGCGUCGCAUGAGCUAGUUGGUAAGGUAACGGCUUACCAAGGCUACGAUGCGUAGCCGACCUGAGAGGGUGAUCGGCCACACUGGAACUGAGACACGGUCCAGACUCCUACGGGAGGCAGCAGUGGGGAAUCUUCCGCAAUGGGCGAAAGCCUGACGGAGCAAAGCCGCGUGAGUGAUGAAGGUCUUCGGAUCGUAAAGCUCUGUAAUUAGGGAAGAAGAAAAGUGUAAGUAACUAUGCACGUCUUGACGGUACCUAAAGAGAAAGCCACGGCUAACUACGUG